This 305-nucleotide ribosomal RNA is filed under the name uncultured bacterium. RNAcentral describes it as "bacterial SSU rRNA". It matches the Rfam family "Bacterial small subunit ribosomal RNA", at positions 337 to 634 of the family's 1533-position model. The record is from RNAcentral.
GCCUACGGGGGGCAGCAGUAGGGAAUCUUCCACAAUGGGCGAAAGCCUGAUGGAGCAACGCCGCGUGGGUGAAGAAGGUCUUCCGAUCGUAAAACCCUGUUGUUAGAGAAGAAAGUGCGUGAGAGUAACUGUUCACAUUUCGACGGUAUCUAACCAGAAAGCCACGGCUAACUACGUGCCAGCAGCCGCGGUAAUACGUAGGUGGCAAGCGUUAUCCGGAUUUAUUGGGCGUAAAGGGAACGCAGGCGGGCUUUUAAGUCUGAUGUGAAAGCCUUCGGCUUAACCGGAGUAGUGCAUUUGACACU